RNAcentral lists this ribosomal RNA (236 nucleotides) under uncultured bacterium. RNAcentral's name for it is "partial 16S ribosomal RNA". It matches the Rfam family "Bacterial small subunit ribosomal RNA", at positions 15 to 244 of the family's 1533-position model. The record is from RNAcentral.
GAUCAUGGCUCAGGACAAACGCUGGCGGCGUGCCUAACACAUGCAAGUCGAACGGGCGAAGAGGGAAGCUUGCUUUCCUCAGAGCUAGUGGCGGACGGGUGAGUAACGCGUGAGUAACCUGCCUUGGAGAGGGGAAUAACACAAAGAAAUUUGUGCUAAUACCGCAUAUGGUGGUAGUACCGCAUGGUACAGCCAUGAAAGAUUUAUCGCUCCAAGAUGGACUCGCGUCCGAUUAG